Long non-coding RNA from Mugil cephalus (flathead mullet), 734 nucleotides. RefSeq lists it as uncharacterized. Lineage: Eukaryota; Metazoa; Chordata; Actinopteri; Mugiliformes; Mugilidae. The record is from RefSeq and is a predicted model, not a curated record. The transcript has 2 exons.
CUCUCUCUCUGUCCCUGUCUCUCUGUCUCAGUCUCUCUGUCUCAGUCUCUCUCUGAUCUUGUCUCCCUCUCUGUCCCUGUCUCUCCGUCCCUGUCUUGUCUCUUUGUCUCUUACAAACUUUCUUCAACUUUUCAACAUGCUCCCGCUCCCUCCAACACUGCGCAUGCGUACACGCCCCUCCCCCUGGGUGUGUUCAUCUGAGCCAAUCACAGCUCGGACUCAUGCGCGAUCGCGCCGCACGGACACGAGCCCCGUGUUGUUGAAACCAGGAAUAAAGUUCAGCGACAGCUCCAUGGCAACGCUGUGUUUGCGGCAGUGGCAGGUUUCCAUGGUUACAGCCGGUAAGGCGCGGCAGAUUCAGGUUAAAGGACAAUCAGGACCAGAACCUGGUUCAGGGCCCAGGGAUAGGACGGGAACCAGGUCCCACAAGAGACCUUUUCAUGAAUGAAGAGCUGAACGUUGUGGGUUCUAAACCUCCUCUGCUUCAGUCUGGACCUGGACCCAGAGGGACGGUGGAGACCUGGUUCAUAGGACGGGAGGACAGACUCCGUUUGAGGUUACCCCCCCUCAGAGACACCAGGAGACACCAGGAGACACCGUGAGACACCAGGAGACACCAUGAGACACCGUCCAUGAUGCUGUUGCUAUGUAACUGGCCUAACAACCACAUCACCUUGGAGACGGUCUUGAAAACUACUUCUGUGUAUUUGUUAAUAAAGAUAAUUAUAAUUAUU